Molecule: ribosomal RNA, 497 nt
Filed under: uncultured bacterium
Lineage: Bacteria
Description: partial 16S ribosomal RNA
Rfam family: Bacterial small subunit ribosomal RNA
Source: RNAcentral
GAUGAACGCUGGCGGCGUGCCUAAUACAUGCAAGUCGAGCGAACAGAUGAGGAGCUUGCUCCUCUGACGUUAGCGGCGGACGGGUGAGUAACACGUGGAUAACCUACCUAUAAGACUGGGAUAACUUCGGGAAACCGGAGCUAAUACCGGAUAAUAUAUUGAACCGCAUGGUUCAAUAGUGAACGACGGUUUUGCUGUCACUUAUAGAUGGAUCCGCGCCGCAUUAGCUAGUUGGUAAGGUAACGGCUUACCAAGGCAACGAUGCGUAGCCGACCUGAGAGGGUGAUCGGCCACACUGGAACUGAGAUACGGUCCAGACUCCUACGGGAGGCAGCAGUAGGGAAUCUUCCGCAAUGGGCGAAAGCCUGACGGAGCAACGCCGCGUGAGUGAUGAAGGUCUUCGGAUCGUAAAACUCUGUUAUUAGGGAAGAACAAAUGUGUAAGUAACUAUGCACGUCUUGACGGUACCUAAUCAGAAAGCCACGGCUAACUACGUG